AGCAGUCGGGGGGAAUAUUGCACAAUAGGGCGCAAGCCUGAUGCAGCCAUGCCGCGUGUGUGAAGAAGGCCUUCGGGUUGUAAAGCACUUUCAGUCGUGAGGAAGGUAGUGUAGUUAAUAGCUGCAUUAUUUGUACGUUAGCGACAGAAGAAAGCACCGGCUAACUCCGUGCCAGCAGCCGCGGUAAUACGGAGGGUGCGAGCGUUAAUCGGAAUUACUGGGCGUAAAGCGCAUGCAGGUGGUUUGGUUUAAGUUCAGAUGUGAAAGACCCGGGGCCGUCAACCUCCGGAAUUAGCAUUUGUAAACUAGGCAGACUAGAGUACUGUAGAGGGGGGUAGGAAUUUCAGGUGUAGCGGUGAAAUAGCGUAGAGAUCUGAAGGAAUACCGGUGGCGAAGGCGGCCCCCUCGGACAGAUACUGACACUCAGAUGCGAAAGCGUGGGGAGCAAACAGGAUUAGAUACCCUGGUAG
Molecule: ribosomal RNA, 470 nt
Filed under: uncultured bacterium
Lineage: Bacteria
Description: bacterial SSU rRNA
Rfam family: Bacterial small subunit ribosomal RNA
Source: RNAcentral